AAUGAACGCUGGCGGCAUGCCUAACACAUGCAAGUCGAACGAGACCUCCGGGGCAAGUGGCGCGCGGGUGCGUAAAGGGGGGGAACCUGCACUUAGGCUCGGAAUAACGCCCCGGAAGGGGUGCUAAUAGCGGUUAAUGUCCUCGGACCAAAGAUUUAACGCCUUUGGAGGGGCCCGCGUUGGUUUAGCUAGUUGGUAGGGUAAAAGCCUACCAGGGCGACGAUCGAUAGCUGGUCUGAGAGGCUGAUCAGCCACACUGGGGCUGAGACACGGCCCGGACUCUUACACGAUGCAGGAGAGGCUAAUCUAGCACAAUCGGGGGAAGGAUGAAGCACCUAGGCCGGGUGAGUGAUGAAGGCCGUAAGGUUGUAAAGCUCUUUUACCCGGGAUGAUAAUGACGGUACCGUAAGAAUAAGCUCCGGCUAACUCCGUG
RNAcentral lists this ribosomal RNA (433 nucleotides) under uncultured bacterium. Its description in RNAcentral is "partial 16S ribosomal RNA". It matches the Rfam family "Bacterial small subunit ribosomal RNA", at positions 29 to 507 of the family's 1533-position model. The record is from RNAcentral.